This 497-nucleotide ribosomal RNA is filed under the name uncultured bacterium. RNAcentral describes it as "partial 16S ribosomal RNA". It matches the Rfam family "Bacterial small subunit ribosomal RNA", at positions 28 to 507 of the family's 1533-position model. The record is from RNAcentral.
GAUGAACGCUGGCGGCGUGCCUAAUACAUGCAAGUCGAGCGAACGGACGAGAAUCUUGCGGCGCUGAUGUUAGCGGAGGACGGGUGAGUAACACGUGUAUAACGUACCUGUAAUAGUGGUAUAACUUCGGGAAACCGGAUCUAAUACCGGAGAAUAUUUUGAACCGCAUGGUUCGAAAGUGAGAGACGGUCUUGCUGUCACGUAUAGAUGGAUCCGCGCUGCAUUAGCUAGUUGGUAAGGUAACGGCUUACCAAGGCAACGAGGCAUAGACGACCUGAGAGGGUGAUAGGCCACACUGGAACUGAGACACGGUCCAUACUCCUACGGUAGGCAGCAGUCGGGAAUCUUACGCAAAGGGGGAAAGCAUGACGGAGCAACGGCGAGUGAGUGAUGACGGUCUCCGGAUCGUAAAGCUCUGUUAUUAGGUAAGAACCGAUGUGUAAGUAACUGUGCACAGCGUGACGGUACCUAAUAAGAAAGCCCCGGCUAACUACGUG